Molecule: small RNA, 127 nt
Filed under: Marmota monax (woodchuck)
Lineage: Eukaryota; Metazoa; Chordata; Mammalia; Rodentia; Sciuridae
Source: RNAcentral
GCCGGGUGCAGUGGUGCACACCUGCAAUCCCAACAGCUCUGGAGGCUGAGGCAGGAGGAUUGUGAGUUCCAAGCCAGCCUCAGCAACAUAUUGAGGCUCUAAGCAACUUAGUGAGACCCUGUCUCUA